RNAcentral lists this unclassified non-coding RNA (314 nucleotides) under Hevea brasiliensis (rubber tree). The record is from RNAcentral. Lineage: Eukaryota; Viridiplantae; Streptophyta; Magnoliopsida; Malpighiales; Euphorbiaceae.
AAUCCAUGCUAGCAGCUUUCAUUUAUAUACAUCACCGUGUCUUUUGUUUCCCGCGUAAGAUGGCUGCCACCUUGGGCAUAUAACAGGGAAGAAGCUAAAGAGGAUCAAAGGGCAACUCAUAAGCCAUUUGAGAUGGAAAUUUUAUCUCCUUUUGAUUGUUGGUGUAAUGAGUUUGACGCAUGAACUCAAUUCGACUGGAGCAGAGUCAGCACUAUUGAGGCUGUGACCCAUAAGCGGAAGCAGAGCAGUGAUGCCUGUCAUUUUUCAGCUCAAAUGUAGUAUUGAAAGAGGAUUAUGAAGUUUAAGAAUUUUAU